UACCCGCUGGAAUUAAGCAUAUCAAUAAGCGGAGGAAAAGAAACCAACCGGGAUUGCCUCAGUAACGGCGAGUGAAGCGGCAAGAGCUCAAAUUUGAAAGCUGGCUCCUUCGGGGUCCGCAUUGUAAUUUGCAGAGGAUGCUUCGGGUGCGGCCCCUGUCUAAGUGCCCUGGAACGGGCCGUCAGAGAGGGUGAGAAUCCCGUCUGGGAUGGGGUGUCCGCGCCCGUGUGAAGCUCCUUCGACGAGUCGAGUUGUUUGGGAAUGCAGCUCUAAAUGGGUGGUAAAUUUCAUCUAAAGCUAAAUACUGGCCGGAGACCGAUAGCGCACAAGUAGAGUGAUCGAAAGAUGAAAAGCACUUUGAAAAGAGAGUUAAAAAGCACGUGAAAUUGUUGAAAGGGAAGCGCUUGCGCCGGGCUCGCCGUCGCUGAGGG
RNAcentral lists this ribosomal RNA (431 nucleotides) under Aspergillus sp. RNAcentral's name for it is "LSU rRNA". It matches the Rfam family "Eukaryotic large subunit ribosomal RNA", at positions 22 to 449 of the family's 3401-position model. Lineage: Eukaryota; Fungi; Ascomycota; Eurotiomycetes; Eurotiales; Aspergillaceae. The record is from RNAcentral.